UACGGAGGGUGCAAGCGUUAAUCGGAAUUACUGGGCGUAAAGCGCACGUAGGUGGUUUGUUAAGCCAGCUGUGAAAUCCCCGGGCUCAACCUGGGCACUGCAGUUGGAACUGGCAAGCUAGAGUAGGGUAGAGGGGUGUGGAAUUCCAGGUGUAGCGGUGAAAUGCGUAGAUAUCUGGAGGAACAUCAGUGGCGAAGGCGACACCCUGGACUCAUACUGACACUGAGGUGCGAAAGCGUGGGGAGCAAAC
Molecule: ribosomal RNA, 250 nt
Filed under: uncultured bacterium
Lineage: Bacteria
Description: partial 16S ribosomal RNA
Rfam family: Bacterial small subunit ribosomal RNA
Source: RNAcentral